AGCUCCACCGGAUCCACCCCCCGGGUCACGACGAGGUAGUCGCGCAUCACCACCGAGUGCCGCAUCUC
RNAcentral lists this small RNA (68 nucleotides) under Gordonia bronchialis DSM 43247. Its description in RNAcentral is "ASdes TB sRNA". It matches the Rfam family "ASdes TB sRNA". Lineage: Bacteria; Bacillati; Actinomycetota; Actinomycetes; Mycobacteriales; Gordoniaceae. The record is from Rfam by way of RNAcentral.